RNAcentral lists this ribosomal RNA (344 nucleotides) under uncultured bacterium. RNAcentral describes it as "bacterial SSU rRNA". It matches the Rfam family "Bacterial small subunit ribosomal RNA", at positions 27 to 368 of the family's 1533-position model. The record is from RNAcentral.
GGACGAACGCUGGCGGCGGUGCUUAACACAUGCAAGUCGAGCGGUAAGGGACCCUUUCGGGGGUACGACGAGCGGCGAACGGGUGAGUAACACGUGGGUGACCUGCCCUCAGCUCUGGGAUAAGCCUGGGAAACCGGGUCGUAAUACUGGAUAUGACUCCAUGACGCAUGUUGUGGGGUGGAAAGCCUUGUGCGGCUGAGGAUGGGCCCGCGGCCUAUCAGCUUGUUGGUGGGGUGAGGCCUACCAAGGCGACGACGGGUAGCCGGCCUGAGAGGGCGACCGGCCACACUGGGACUGAGACACGGCCCAGACUCCUACGGGAGGCAGCAGUGGGGAAUCUUGCG